UGGGGGAUAUUGCACAAUGGGCGAAAGCCUGAUGCAGCGACGCCGCGUGGGGGAUGAAGGCUUUCGGGUUGUAAACCUCUUUCGCUAUCGAACAAGGCCCGCUUAGGGUGGGUUGAGGGUAGGUGGAGAAGAAGCGCCGACUAACUACGUGCCAGCAGCCGCGGUAAUACGUAGGGCGCGAGCGUUGUCCGGAAUUAUUGGGCGUAAAGGGCUUGUAGGCGGCUUGUUGCGCCUGCUGUGAAAACGCGGGGCUUAACUUCGCGCGUGCAGUGGGUACGGGCAGGCUUGAGUGUGGUAGGGGUGACUGGAAUUCCAGGUGUAGCGGUGGAAUGCGCAGAUAUCUGGAGGAACACCGAUGGCGAAGGCAGGUCACUGGGCCAUUACUGACGCUGAGGAGCGAAAGCAUGGGUAGCGAACAGG
This 420-nucleotide ribosomal RNA is filed under the name bacterium. RNAcentral describes it as "partial 16S ribosomal RNA". It matches the Rfam family "Bacterial small subunit ribosomal RNA", at positions 355 to 776 of the family's 1533-position model. The record is from RNAcentral.